AUAGAAUAAUGUAUGUAAGGGAAGUCGGCAAAUUAGAUCCGUAACUUCGGGAUAAGGAUUGGCUCUGAAGAUUGAGAUAGUCGGGCUUGAUUGGGAAGCAAUAAUAUGGUUUACGUACUCGUUCUGGGUAAAUUAGAUUUAAAUUUAUAUAUUUUAUAUAUAAAUUUAAUUUGUUCCCCGGAUAGUAGUCUACGUAACCAAUUGCGGAACUUUCUUGCUAAUAAUAUAUAAAAUAAAUGUAAAAAUUGAUUUAUAUAUUUUUAACGGCUAUCAAUUAACAAUCAAUUCAGAACUGGCACGGACUUGGGGAAUCCGACUGUCUAAUUAAAACAAAGCAUUGUGAUGGCCCCAACGGGUGUUGACACAAUGUGAUUUCUGCCCAGUGCUCUGAAUGUCAAAGUGAAGAAAUUCAAUUAAGCGCGGGUAAACGGCGGGAGUAACUAUGACUCUCUUAUGGUAGCCAAAUGCCUCGUCAUCUAAUUAGUGACGCGCAUGAAUGGAUUAACGAGAUUCCUACUGUCCCUAUCUACUAUCUAGCGAAACCACAGCCAAGGGAACGGGCUUGGAAUUAUCAGUGGGGAAAGAAGACCUUUUGAGCUUGACUCUAGUCUGACAAUGUAAGGAGACAUAAGAGGUGUAGCAUAAGUGGGAGAUAUAUAAUUUUUAUAAAUUAUGUAUCGACAAUGAAAUACCACUACUUUUAUUGUUUCCUUACUUACUUGAUAAAGUGGAACGUGUAUCAUUUACUUAGCUAUUAUACGGAUAUAUAUUUUAUAUAUUUUAUGGUAUUUUGUUAUGAUACAAGUUUCUUGAUAAAAAUAUAACGAAUUUGUUAUAUACGCCAAACAAAUUCAUAAUGAAAUUUUAUAUAUAAAAUAUUUGUAAAAGUAUUUUUAUAUAAUUAAGUAAUUAAAUUUGGUAUAACUAUUAUAUUCAUGUAUGAUCCAUUUCAAGGACAUUCUCAGGUUGGUAGUUUGACUGGGGCGGUACAUCUCUCAAAUAAUAACGGAGGUGUCCCAAGGCCAGCUCAGUGCGGACAGAAACCACACAUAGAGCAAAAGGGCAAAUGCUGACUUGAUCUCGGUAUUCAGUACGUACAGAGACAGCGAAAGCUCGGCCUAUCGAUCCUUUUGGUUUAAUGAGUUUUUAACAAGAGGUGUCAGAAAAGUUACCAGAGGGAUAACUGACUUGCGGCAACCAAGCGUUCAUAGCGACGUUGCUUUUUGAUCCUUCGAUGUCGGCUUUUCCUAUCAUUGUGAAGCAAAAUUCACAAAGUGUUGGAUUGUUCACCCAUUCAAGGGAACAUGAGCUGGGUUUAGACCGUCGUGAGACAGGUUAGUUUUAACCUUCUGAUAAAAUUAUGUUAUUACAACAGCAUUUCUGCGUAGUACGAGAGGAACCCGCAGUACGGACCAAUGGCACAAUACUUGUUCGAGCGAACAGUGGUAUGAUGCUACGUCUGCUGGAUUAUGCCUGAACGCCUCUAAGGUCGUAACCAAGCUGGAUGUAAUGAUAGUAAUGGGGUAAUUGCAUUGCGUGGCAUUAAAACAUUAAAAGUUAGUUUAAUUAACGAAAAUGUAAUUUAUGAAGCCAAUUAUAUAAUAAACAGUUUAUUGAGUUGUAUUAUAAGCUUCUCUAUUAAACUAUAUUAUAUGAAAGACUAUUAUAAUGCGCAGUGACAAUACCCAGAAUCAAUUGUAAACUACUUUGGUAAC
RNAcentral lists this ribosomal RNA (1715 nucleotides) under Ogcodes canadensis. RNAcentral describes it as "eukaryotic LSU rRNA". The stretch from base 1 to 1525 matches the Rfam family "Eukaryotic large subunit ribosomal RNA", at positions 1890 to 3401 of the family's 3401-position model. Lineage: Eukaryota; Metazoa; Arthropoda; Insecta; Diptera; Acroceridae. The record is from RNAcentral.